RNAcentral lists this ribosomal RNA (435 nucleotides) under uncultured Saccharofermentans sp. RNAcentral's name for it is "partial 16S ribosomal RNA". It matches the Rfam family "Bacterial small subunit ribosomal RNA", at positions 341 to 792 of the family's 1533-position model. Lineage: Bacteria; Bacillati; Bacillota; Clostridia; Eubacteriales; Oscillospiraceae. The record is from RNAcentral.
ACGGGAGGCCGCAGUGGGGAAUAUUGGGCUAUGGGCGCAAGCCUGACCCAGCCACGCCGCGUGAAGGAUGAAGGUCUUCGGAUUGUAAACUUCUUUGAUUGGGGUAGAAUAAAUGACCUACCCAAAGAACAAGUCACGGCUAACUACGUGCCAGCAGCCGCGGUAAUACGCAGGUGACAAGCGUUAUCCGGAUUUACUGGGUGUAAAGGGCGUGUAGGCGGUUCUGUAAGUCAGAAGUGAAAUUCCCGGGCUCAACCUGGGCGCUUCUUCUGAAACUACAGAACUUGAGUACUGGAGGGGAAAGCGGAAUUCCUAGUGUAGCGGUAAAAUGCACAGAUAUUAGGAGGAACACCGGUGGCGAAGGCGGCUUUCUGGACAGUAACUGACACUGAUGCUCGAAAGCGUGGGGAGCAAACAGGAUUAGAUACCCUGGUA